GGUUCAAUGGUCUAGUGGUUAUGAUUUCUGUCUUACACACAGAAGGUCCUGAGUUCGAGCCUCAGUUGAACCA
Non-coding RNA from Pisolithus sp. B1, 73 nucleotides. The record is from the annotation of a GenBank genome assembly. Lineage: Eukaryota; Fungi; Basidiomycota; Agaricomycetes; Boletales; Pisolithaceae.